UACGGGGGGGAGCAAGCGUUGUUCGGAUUUACUGGGCGUAAAGGGCGCGUAGGCGGCCAGCACAAGUCAGUUGUGAAAUCUCCGGGCUUAACUCGGAACGGUCAAGUGAUACUGUCGGACUAGAGUACAGAAGGGGCAACUGGAAUUCUCGGUGUAGCGGUGAAAUGCGUAGAUAUCGAGAGGAACACCUGCGGCGAAGGCGGGUUGCUGGGCUGAUACUGACGCUGAGGCGCGAAAGCCAGGGGAGCGAACGGG
Molecule: ribosomal RNA, 255 nt
Filed under: uncultured bacterium
Lineage: Bacteria
Description: partial 16S ribosomal RNA
Rfam family: Bacterial small subunit ribosomal RNA
Source: RNAcentral